CCUACCAAUUAUACUCGGUUGUAUCGCAACCAUGUAGUAUGCACGACGGGCGAAGCUAAGCCACGGUAGUCGACGAGUUCACUCGAUUCGCCGCACAAGUUUGGAGGGAACAUCGACUCGUAGGUUAAAAUUGCUUCGUUUUCCGUCUAAUUGCGAACGAUUUUGCUUUUGUUCCAUAGGACUCUGAUUUGCGUACCCGAUCGUGCUUGCCUCGGGCCUUCCUGGAGAAUUUGGCCCUUCUUAGGGCAAGAAGACGUUAGCACUGGGGGCUUUACAUGCUUAAAAUUCAGCGAUGUUCGUGGGAGUCUCAGGACAGACAUUUUAAAGGUUUCAUCAAGGUUAUCAGGCCUGUUGUUUGGUCAAGCUGAUGUGUUUGGUUCUUUCUUUCUUGUACUCUUUUUAUGCCUUUUUUUUGCUAGUAUUAAGGAAAUUCUAUAUUUAAGCAACCCCUUUGAAUUUUUUCUUGGCACACUUCAAGUACAAAUAAGUGUGCAAGAUUUUGAACUUGUUUUAUGUUCCUGUGUGGGAUACUGAGGUGACAACCAAGCAUUGAAAAAUCUUUAGAGAAAAUUACAUUUGUAAUCUUCCACUGUUGUUAUCAUGAAAUGCUCCUUCCUUUUCCGAGACUAUACAUUUUGAUCUAUCUUUUACUAGAUUAUGUAAAGGCUGACUGUUGUAUCUGUAGACCAUUCUAGUCGAAAGCAGAUCCCGAGUAAACAAAAUAAGAAUUGUUAUUAUGGGUCAUUUUUGUGUUACCCCUCUUGUUUUCCUGAGUUGAGAGUAGAAUAGUUCAUGAACAACAGUAGGGAGGAAUAAGGGCAGGAAAAAUGAUGACAUUGUAAACAAAACAAAAGAUAAAAAGAAAAUUAUUCAUAGGCAAUAAAUAGGAUGGUGGAAUUGAAGCACCGAAACAAGAAGCCAGAUUGGAUUAAUGAUCGAGAUGGAAUUAAGUCUUUCAUUGAGCUGACCAUGUUUUGUUUUGCUUUGGUAUCUAAUUUAAUCUCUGUACUUUUUCCCUUCUCUCAUGUGGAUGAAACAAGGAUAGAAGGAGCCUUCAUUUCUGUGGUAAACUACUUUCCUCAUACCUUAAGCCCUCUCAACUGUGCAGUUGGAACUGGCACUCACUCCAUGAUCAAUUUGACCAUCUGGAGUCUCUAAAUUGGAUGCCAACUAUUUUGUUAAACAGUCAUAUUCAUCUAGAAGAGAAAUCAAUCAAUAUAUAUAUAUAUAUAUAUAUAUAUUUCAACAUUUAGCUUUGCAUGUCAAACAAAACUAAAAAUGUUUUUCCAUUUUGCUUAUUCUUCUCAUGAUGACACUGUCACUGUUAUGCAUCUUCUCUCCAAAUUCUUGCAAGAAAAUAGAGCUGGGCCAUAAGAAACUUCCCACAGGUACAUCCUGCUUGUUAAACAGUCAUAUUCAUCUAGAAGAGACCUUAGUCAAUAUAUAUAUAUUUCAACAUUUAGCUUUGCAUGUCAAACAAAACUAAAAAUGUUUUUCCAUUUUGCUUAUUCUUCUCAUGAUGACACUUUGUCACUGUUAUGCAUCUUCUCCCCAAAUUCUUGCAAGAAAAUAGAGCUGGCCAUAAGAAACUGCCCACAGGUACAUCCUGCUUGUUAAACAGUCAUAUUCAUCUAGAAGAGAACUUAGUCAAUAUAUAUAUUUUUCAACAUUUAGCUUUGCAUGUCAAACAAAACUAAAAAUGUUUUUCCAUUUUGCUUAUUCUUCUCAUGAUGACACUGUCACUGUUAUGCAUCUUCUCUCCAAAUUCUUGCAAGAAAAUAGAGCUGGCCAUAAGAAACUGCCAAUAGGUACAUCCUGCAACUCAUAGUUGGGUAAGCAACACUACUUUUCUACACCAAGAUAUUUUCCAUUAACAUGUAUUUAGAUUUCUUGUCCAUAAAAUCACCAGAACGAACUUAAUGUAUACUAAUUGUAAUUAGUUUUUUACAUUUUUACGAUAUAAAUAGGUCAACAAAGUUUUGGAGGGAAAAUAUUUUAAGUUUAAAUUGACUGACACUGAUCCUGAGAUGAUAGUCACUCUAUCUGCUAUGGUUCUCUAGAACAUUUAGUUUAGCAUCAACUAUAUGUACAUUUUAGAUUAAAAUAUACUGUCAUUAAUCAUUUGAGUGGAGAAUAUAAAUGCAUAAUGGACAUGUUUCAUCUCAGACCUACCUAAUCUCUGCAGGUGUGUCAAUACUGGAUGUCACUUAAGCUCUGAACACAAUGAGGUGGUUGUCCAAAGGUGCAGGGGGGGCAUACAUGUGAGCCCUCAUGUUCCUAGGGGCCAAAUGUGAGACAAAUAGUAUCUCACAUACUUUAUUGAUUCAUGUGGUGCCAAAGAGCCAAGGGAAGUUUAUAUUUUGUUCAACAGAUGUGAGUCAUUUGUUUAUAGGACCGUAUGGUAAGUGUCAAUUUCCAUCUUUCCAUGUACCCUACACUGUUUACAUACUAGCUCAUGCCACCUGCUUUUUACUGCACCCCAAUGUACCCUCUGUUGCAACCUCUGUGCCCCUUCUCAAUGGCCAUUUCCCAUCUCUUUCCCACUUCCCAACACCUUUAAAAGCCAGGCUAAAGGUAAAAAAAAGGUAACCUACUGACCAUUUGGGUCUGUGACAUGAAUCACCUUUUGAUGGAGCAGGAGGCCUCUCUCCCUUCAUAUUGUCUUCUCUGGCUUUUCAUCAUGGAUAGAAGAAUUAAUAAUGUAUGGAAUAUGGACAUUGGACAUGACAGCUAGUAUUUGUUGAGCAAUGUGCUCUGAACAUGGUUUUGUACCCAAAAGUAAGUCAUGUCUGAGUGACAAAUUUCACAUUCUACUAUCUGAUUUCUCUAUGAAUUUAAGAAUUCAUAAUGUACAGACAGUAUGGGCAGUGGAAAUGACAUAAUAGCAUUUGUUCCAUCAACCAUCUGUCUCCGGGAUCCCUCUGGUGGAGCAAUGAGCUGUUGACAUGGUUUUGUGCCCUAAAGUAACCCCCUGCUGAGUGACAAGCUCUCAUCCAUCCCCUUUGAUGAUUGUCCACUUGAGGAAUGUUGGGGACUCUGCACCAAGAAUAUCAGAGCUGGCCUGUAUGGUUUGUACCUGUAAGUGCCUGAACGGAACUGAUGAGUAAGUACACUGACCAUUUAUUAUGAUAAGGAUGGACUGCUCACCGCAUGAUUAACUUUGUUUUGUAAGCUUGCUGAAGGUGUCUCCCUCACCCCUUUUCUUGGCUCCACCUCUCAAUUAUGUAGUGAGAUGCAGAUGAAAUCUCUUUAUCAGUAUGCUCUCUUUGAUCAUUCCCACUGUUUUCAGGCACCAAACUUCAUCUGAAUCAAGAAAAUUUAAACUACGCUCGUCUUAUUUAUUUUUCUUGGAAAUCUAAAUCUUCUCAUUGCCAGAAUGAAAAGGAAGAAAACUCUUCUUAUAGCUCUAACUCUUUCAUCCUCUCCACAUAUUUGUUCUAUUCUUAUCAUUCUCUUUCACUAUGAAUAUAACCAUUAUUCUUACAAUGUUAUUUAUAUGCUUUUUUGAACUUUAUUAAAGUCUUGCAAGGACUUCUUGGCAGUCGCUAAGGCUAGAGAGCGGACGAUCCGUACUUAC
Molecule: long non-coding RNA, 3577 nt
Organism: Musa acuminata AAA Group (dessert banana)
Lineage: Eukaryota; Viridiplantae; Streptophyta; Magnoliopsida; Zingiberales; Musaceae
Exons: 3
Source: RefSeq, a predicted model, not a curated record